Molecule: long non-coding RNA, 238 nt
Filed under: Sus scrofa (pig)
Lineage: Eukaryota; Metazoa; Chordata; Mammalia; Artiodactyla; Suidae
Description: lncRNA (ENSSSCG00045030441.1)
Source: RNAcentral
GACUAGCAUCCAUGAGGAUGAGGGUUCGAUCCCUGGCCUCGCUCAGUGGGUUAAGGAUCUGGCGUUGCUGUGAGCUGUGGUAUAGGUCACAGAUGUGGCUCAGAUCCCACGUUGCUGUGGCUGUGGUGUAGGCUGGCAGCUGUAGCUCCAAUUUGACCCCUAGCCCGGGAACCUCCAUAUGCCACAGCCACUGUAGAAGCAACGCCGAGUAGUUAUGUUGUGAGCCACACAGGAAGUC